This 205-nucleotide long non-coding RNA is filed under the name Mytilus galloprovincialis (Mediterranean mussel). The record is from RNAcentral. Lineage: Eukaryota; Metazoa; Mollusca; Bivalvia; Mytilida; Mytilidae.
GUCCUGUCACUCAAGAAUCCACUUUUUAGCGAGUGCUUGAAUCUCAUAUAUGCAUAUGUAAGGCGUAAUCGUUGUAAAAACACAACAUACGAACUACAUAUAUCUGUAAAAUCAGUUGAACACUAACAUUAAAAUAAUAGACACAAAGUACCGAUAGCGUUCCAAUUUGUUUUACUUGUUUUGUGAUUUACGAGAAAUACUCCGA